GACGAACGCUGGCGGCGUGCUUAACACAUGCAAGUCGAACGGUGAAGCGCCUUCCUUUUUGGUGGGUGUGGAUGAGUGGCGAACGGGUGAGUAACACGUGAGUAACCUGCCCCCUUCUUCUGGAUAACCGCAUGAAAGUGUGGCCAAUACGGGAUAUUCUGGGUCUGUCGCAUGAUGGGUCUGGGAAAGAUAUUGUUUCGGUGGGGGAUGGGCUCGCGGCCUAUCAGCGUGUUGGUGGGGUGAUGGCCUACCAAGGCGGUGACGGGUAGCCGGCCUGAGAGGGUGGACGGUCACACUGGGACUGGGACACGGCCCAGACUCCUACGGGAGGCAGCAGUGGGGAAUAUUGCACAAUGGGCGCAAGCCUGAUGCAGCGACGCCGCGUGAGGGAUGGAGGCCUUCGGGUUGUGAACCUCUUUCGCCAGUGAAGCAGGCCUGCCUCGUUUGUGGGUGGGUUGACGGUAGCUGGAUAAGAAGCGCCGGCUAACUACGUG
Molecule: ribosomal RNA, 494 nt
Filed under: uncultured bacterium
Lineage: Bacteria
Description: partial 16S ribosomal RNA
Rfam family: Bacterial small subunit ribosomal RNA
Source: RNAcentral